CAGGCCUAACACAUGCAAGUCGAACGAGACCUUCGGGUCUAGUGGCGCACGGGUGCGUAACGCGUGGGAAUCUGCCCCUUGGUUCGGAAUAACAGUUAGAAAUGACUGCUAAUACCGGAUAACGACGUAAGUCCAAAGAUUUAUCGCCGAGGGAUGAGCCCGCGUAGGAUUAGCUAGUUGGUGUGGUAAAGGCGCACCAAGGCGACGAUCCUUAGCUGGUCUGAGAGGAUGAUCAGCCACACUGGGACUGAGACACGGCCCAGACUCCUACGGGAGGCAGCAGUGGGGAAUAUUGGACAAUGGGCGCAAGCCUGAUCCAGCCAUACCGCGUGGGUGAAGAAGGCCUUCGGGUUGUAAAGCCCUUUUGUUGGGAAAGAAAUCCAGCCGGCUAAUACCUGGUUGGGAUGACGGUACCCAAAGAAUAAGCACCGGCUAACUUCGUGCCAGCAGCCGCGGUAAU
Molecule: ribosomal RNA, 460 nt
Filed under: uncultured bacterium
Lineage: Bacteria
Description: bacterial SSU rRNA
Rfam family: Bacterial small subunit ribosomal RNA
Source: RNAcentral